UUUGAAUCCUAACUUUCUCUGGUAUCUCUCUAGUUCUUGCUUAUCUUGAAAUGGUUCCAUAAUCUCAAUAAAGUAAAAUUGAUGUCUUUUCUGCAUAUUUGUUAGUCUAUGACCAUUUUUUGACUGUUCAAUGAUCUAAUGUUCCAUAUCAACGCAUUCAUUGAUACUUUAUGGGCUUUGCAAUUGUCCUCCUUGAUUGCCUAGAAUUAGCUUCUGCCACAGUUGUAUCUCCAGUCCCUUUACUCUUAUGUUUAAACUAUUGCUCCAUUAUUUUAUCCUUCUGCUUUGGUGAUAGAUCUCCUGCUAAAGCGGCAUCUUUAACAGUACCACUUAAAUUCUUUUAAUCUAUGUUGUCUACCAUCCUUAUGAAUAACGGUAAAGCCUCACUUAUCUGCUCUUCAAAAAUACUGAUAGAUUUCUUAUUUGCAUUAUUUUUUCAUCUUCUUUCUCCUUAGAUGGGGUUGUAUUUUCCUUAAUCUGUAUAGUUUCCCCCUUUUCCUCCAUAUCUUUGGGUAAAUGUUCGUCCUAUUUAGUUUUUCCUUUUUUAUUUUGUACUUUCUGUUUAACAUCUUUUUUCACCGAAUCUUCAUUUUCCUUUGAAUUUAGAAUUUCCAUUCCCUUUUCAGUUGCAUUGUCCUUACCAAAAACUUGAUUUACCCAUUUCUUUGUUUGUAUCUUCUUCUGAGAAUGCUCUGUAUGCUAUUAAUUAUCUUUUUUAUCCCUUAGAGAUUCGAAAGGGUUGUCAUCCUUAUACUCUAAUUCUCUUUCAAUAUGACCAUACCUAGCCUUCUUGUAUUUAUUUUUCCUUGUCAUCCAUUCCUUUUUUUAAUAGCAUUCAUCCCACUGUCACAGUUGUUGCAAUUUCUAUUAAUGUCUUCUUUUGUUCCCUUUUUCCCUCCUUUCUGUAUCUCUUUAUUCUUUUAUACCUUCUUUGAUUUAAAUAGUUCUUGAUGAAUUGACCAGAAAGUUACUUCAUCAUGCCCUUGUAAGCAACGUUAUUUAAAAUAUUUAGGCAUGUAGUCAUAUUGAAUCUUAAUCUAUUUAGAUUUAAUCUGCCCAGUAUCAUCAUCUUUCUCAUUGAUGCGCACUCUUUGAGGUAAUUUAGCUACCAAAUCCACUUCAAUCUUAACCAUGGAACAACUAGGUCUUGUUUGGUUCUUAUUAGCUAUGUCCACCAUUAAUGGUUUUCCAACU
RNAcentral lists this long non-coding RNA (1194 nucleotides) under Capsicum annuum. Its description in RNAcentral is "long non-coding RNA (CANN_LNC015965)". Lineage: Eukaryota; Viridiplantae; Streptophyta; Magnoliopsida; Solanales; Solanaceae. The record is from RNAcentral.